GUUAAUGUGUGUGUGUGUUUGUGUCUGACUGUGUGUGUUUGUGAGUGUGUGUGUGUGUUUGUGUCUGUGUAUGUGUCUGACUGUGUGUGUGUGUGUUUGUGUCUGACUGUGUUUGUGUCUGUGUAUGUGUCUGACUGUGUGUGUGUGUGUGUUUGUGUCUGACUGUGUGUGUGUAUGUGACUGUGUGUGUCUGUGUGUUUGUGUGUGUGUUUGUGUCUGACUGUGUGUGUGUG
Non-coding RNA from Pelobates cultripes (western spadefoot toad), 233 nucleotides. NCBI's taxonomy places the organism in Eukaryota, Metazoa, Chordata, Amphibia, Anura, Pelobatidae. The record is from the annotation of a GenBank genome assembly.